UGGGGUUUAGAUUAUUACUCAAAAUUUCUUUCUUCUAUGAUCCUCUUACUUGUAGUUUGCUAUAUCAGUUUCGCUUGGUACCAUGAUGCUUACCCUUUCAUUAGUUUUCCCAACUAAUUAGUUUUCCUAGCUCGCUUUGUAUUUAUGAUAUUCAAUUUGACACAUACCAGAACUAUCAAUUCAUCUACUUUGGGCUACUUCUUGGCCUUUUCAAGCACAGGAUCUAUAACACCAUAUGAAGACACUCAAAGUAGCAAGCUUAUGGUAACUUAUCUAUGCUUGGAAGGUGCUGAUUUGUUUUCCCGUGAUAACUAGAAUCAAUCGCAUGUAAUAGGGCUCUUCCUUAAUUCUUUGGUUAUCCUCCCCUUUUUUCUAGUAUGGCAAAAUUUUCCAAUCAACAUGUUCCAUCUUUAAUGGUAUCACCUAUGGGUCUCAACCAGUCAAACAACCCACUAUUCACUAUUCCUCCUACAGCAAUCACAGUAAUUGAUAGUUCUGUUACUUUGUAUUAGAGAUGAGAAUUAUAUUUUCAUGCUUGAAGUCUAUCCCCUUACUUACAAUGACCAUAUUGAUUCUGUUGAGGACCAUUAGUUCUAUAUGGUCUAUCCUUUGGCUUUUAUAAACAUGGGAUUUACUUGAUCAUCAGAAUAAGGUUGUAACAGGGACAAGUUGAUGGCACCUCAUCUACAAUUCAGUGCUGCUAACUUGUGACCCCAUGAAGCUAGAAAUCUUUCAUAGAUAGCAGAUGUUUCAUUGGAUGGUUGGUCUAUCUCUCGUGUCUCUCGGAUUCUAAGUUUUUUGCUCAAUCAGAUCCAGCCUUCGCUGACGCUUGUUGAUGGAUAUAAUUUAGCCAAUUAUUCCUUCUUUCACUCCACUCACAGCACUCACUAUAUUUGGAGUUAAACUGCUUUGUGUUGUGAUGUUAAUACUUCCAUUUCUGUGUCUCAAGGGAUUGUAACUUUAUAUAACUAGUAUAAUUGCGUUCUAGAUCUUGUUUCUAUUUCUUGCAAUAUAGCUCAGCUCCUCUUUUUACCAAAAAAAAUAAUAAUAAUAAACUAUACUUUUUCUUGUGCAAAUUAAUUUGCAAUGAGAAUUCUAAAUUUGAUACCUCAUAUAUCUUAAUUCACAUUUUC
This 1133-nucleotide long non-coding RNA is filed under the name Elaeis guineensis (African oil palm). RNAcentral's name for it is "long non-coding RNA (EGUI_LNC043599)". Lineage: Eukaryota; Viridiplantae; Streptophyta; Magnoliopsida; Arecales; Arecaceae. The record is from RNAcentral.